UGUGCACCCAAACCCAAAGGUCCCAUCUUGUCUGUGAGGGGACUUUGUCUGGUGUGCAGACAAAAACCAGAUCCUUGUCGCCUUUCUCUGCUGCUGCAGUGCCUUUGAAAGUGAAUUCAAGGAUCGACACUG
This 132-nucleotide small nucleolar RNA is filed under the name Echeneis naucrates (live sharksucker). RNAcentral describes it as "Small nucleolar RNA SNORA68 (ENSENLG00000013390.1)". It matches the Rfam family "Small nucleolar RNA SNORA68". From Rfam's summary of the family: U68 is a member of the H/ACA class of small nucleolar RNAs (snoRNAs) which act as guides in the the modification of uridines to pseudouridines. The record is from Rfam by way of RNAcentral. Lineage: Eukaryota; Metazoa; Chordata; Actinopteri; Carangiformes; Echeneidae.